RNAcentral lists this ribosomal RNA (499 nucleotides) under uncultured Glomeromycotina. RNAcentral's name for it is "partial small subunit ribosomal RNA". It matches the Rfam family "Eukaryotic small subunit ribosomal RNA", at positions 591 to 1092 of the family's 1831-position model. Lineage: Eukaryota; Fungi; Glomeromycota. The record is from RNAcentral.
CCAAUAGCGCAUAUUAAAGUUGCUGCAGUUAAAAAGCUCGUAGUUGAAUUUCGGGACCAUCAUGUCGGUCGUGCCUCGGUACGUACUGGUAUUGUUGGUUUCUCCCUUCUGACGAACCAUGAUGUCAUUUAUUUGGUGUUGUGGGGAAUCAGGACUGUUACUUUGAAAAAAUUAGAGUGUUUAAAGCAGGCUCACGCUUGAAUACAUUAGCAUGGAAUAAUGAAAUAGGACGUUUGAUUCUAUUUUGUUGGUUUCUAGGAUCGACGUAAUGAUUAAUAGGGAUAGUUGGGGGCAUUAGUAUUCAAUUGUCAGAGGUGAAAUUCUUGGAUUUAAUGAAGACUAACUACUGCGAAAGCAUUUGCCAAGGAUGUUUUCAUUAAUCAAGAACGAAAGUUAGGGGAUCGAAGACGAUCAGAUACCGUCGUAGUCUUAACCAUAAACUAUGCCGACUAGGGAUCGGAUGAUGUUAAUUUUUUAAUGACUCAUUCGGCGCCUUACG